CAGUCGCCGCGGUAAUACAGAGGGUGCAAGCGUUAAUCGGAAUUACUGGGCGUAAAGCGCGCGUAGGUGGUUUGUUAAGUUGAAUGUGAAAUCCCCGGGCUCAACCUGGGAACUGCAUCCAAAACUGGCAAGCUAGAGUAGGGCAGAGGGUGGUGGAAUUUCCUGUGUAGCGGUGAAAUGCGUAGAUAUAGGAAGGAACACCAGUGGCGAAGGCGACCACCUGGGCUCAUACUGACACUGAGGUGCGAAAGCGUGGGGAGCAAACAGGAUUAGAUACCCGCGUAGUCCCUGUCUCUAUACC
This 301-nucleotide ribosomal RNA is filed under the name uncultured bacterium. Its description in RNAcentral is "partial 16S ribosomal RNA". It matches the Rfam family "Bacterial small subunit ribosomal RNA", at positions 509 to 808 of the family's 1533-position model. The record is from RNAcentral.